GCCCUAGUAACGGCGAGUGAAGCGGCAACAGCUCAAAUUUGAAAUCUGGCUUUCGGGCCCGAAUUGUAAUUUGCAGAGGAUGCUUUUGGCGCGGUGCCUUCCGAGUUCCCUGGAACUGGACGCCUUAGAGGGUGAGAGCCCCGUACGGUUGGACACCAAGCCUCUGUAAAGCUCCUUCGACGAGUCGAGUAGUUUGGGAAUGCUGCUCUAAAUGGGAGGUAAAUUUCUUCUAAAGCUAAAUACCGGCCAGAGACCGAUAGCGCACAAGUAGAGUGAUCGAAAGAUGAAAAGCACUUUGAAAAGAGGGUUAAAUAGCACGUGAAAUUGUUGAAAGGGAAGCGUUUACGGCCAGACCUUUUCCUGGUGGAUCAUCCGGUGUUCUCACCGGUGCACUUCGCUAGGUUUAGGCCAGCAUCGGCUUCCGCAGGGGGAUAAAAGCAGUGGGAAAGUAGCUCCUUCGGGAGUGUUAUAGCCCUAAGCAUAAUACCCUUGCGGGGGCCGAGGACCGCGCUUUUGCAAGGAUGCUGGCGUAAUGGUCGUCAACGACCCGUCUUGAAACACGGACCAAGGAGUCGAACAUUUGUGCGAGUGUUUGGGUGUUAAACCCUCACGCGUAAUGAAAGUGAACGGAGGUGAGAGCCCUUUAGGGUGCAUCAUCGACCGAUCCUGAUGUCUUCGGAUGGAUUUGAGUAAGAGCAUAACUGUUCGGACCCGAAAGAUGGUGAACUAUGCGUGGAUAGGGUGAAGCCAGAGGAAACUCUGGUGGAGGCUCGCAGCGGUUCUGACGUGCAAAUCGAUCGUCAAAUCUGCGCAUGGGGGCGAAAGACUUAUCGAACCAUCUA
Molecule: ribosomal RNA, 842 nt
Filed under: Camillea heterostoma
Lineage: Eukaryota; Fungi; Ascomycota; Sordariomycetes; Xylariales; Graphostromataceae
Description: partial large subunit ribosomal RNA
Rfam family: Eukaryotic large subunit ribosomal RNA
Source: RNAcentral